Molecule: ribosomal RNA, 591 nt
Filed under: Cryptosporidium parvum
Lineage: Eukaryota; Apicomplexa; Conoidasida; Eucoccidiorida; Cryptosporidiidae
Description: SSU rRNA
Rfam family: Eukaryotic small subunit ribosomal RNA
Source: RNAcentral
ACAGGGAGGUAGUGACAAGAAAUAACAAUACAGGACUUUUUGGUUUUGUAAUUGGAAUGAGUUAAGUAUAAACCCCUUUACAAGUAUCAAUUGGAGGGCAAGUCUGGUGCCAGCAGCCGCGGUAAUUCCAGCUCCAAUAGCGUAUAUUAAAGUUGUUGCAGUUAAAAAGCUCGUAGUUGGAUUUCUGUUAAUAAUUUAUAUAAAAUAUUUUGAUGAAUAUUUAUAUAAUAUUAACAUAAUUCAUAUUACUAUAUUUUUUAGUAUAUGAAAUUUUACUUUGAGAAAAUUAGAGUGCUUAAAGCAGGCAUAUGCCUUGAAUACUCCAGCAUGGAAUAAUAUUAAAGAUUUUUAUCUUUCUUAUUGGUUCUAAGAUAAGAAUAAUGAUUAAUAGGGACAGUUGGGGGCAUUUGUAUUUAACAGUCAGAGGUGAAAUUCUUAGAUUUGUUAAAGACAAACUAAUGCGAAAGCAUUUGCCAAGGAUGUUUUCAUUAAUCAAGAACGAAAGUUAGGGGAUCGAAGACGAUCAGAUACCGUCGUAGUCUUAACCAUAAACUAUGCCAACUAGAGAUUGGAGGUUGUUCCUUACUCCUU